GCAAAGCCGGCCGGGUCUCCCGCGGCCCGCCCUUGGGAGGAGGAGCCCGCGGCAUCCACCGGCUCCGCCCCUCCUGCCCUCGCACCGAGGAGCCCGCCCCGGAGGAGGGGCCUGUGGCGCCGGCCAGGAGAAAAACCGAAGCCGAAUCCGAGCUAGUUUGCUGCUGCCGGAUUUGCCUGCUACCUUGGAUGACUUCGGGAGGCUGGCGGCACCGAAGAGGCCUCCUGAGAGCUGGGCCCCUGGCGGAACUCUUAGCCGGUGGCGUGGCCUUAUCUCAGGUUGCUGGACAUGAAGGAGGCCAAGGCUGCUUUGGAAAGUUCCGUGGCCAUAUCUCAAGGAUGUCAUUGUAGGAACUGAUCACUUAGAUACUUCAAAAGUUAUACAGCUCCCCACAAAUACAGCAGGUGCAGUAUUUCCAAAGAAAAGGGAGUUUGGGAGUGGUAAUCUGGUGAGCAGCUGGCCCAGGGAACUGGUCGUGAAGCUCUGUUUGCACAACAGUGUUUUUAUUGGAAUUGUUUGUGGGGAAGGGGCUGCAGUCCCUCCACCUACCCCUUGGCAACCAUCAUGAUGAUGAGGUGUUACUUUGAAUUUGGUUACCUAGAGGCCUAAAUCGAGAUUGGGGUAUAAAGAAUAAUACUUGAGAUGGCUUCCAGCUAACAAAGCCUUUCCACAAAUAUUUUUAUUAUAAUACAGCCAACAUUUUGCUGCAGUCAUUCUUGUGUCAGACUGUAGCUAGGGUAUUAAGGAGCCAGAGUGAGAAAAUACUUUAAAAGCUAACUUUAACCAAUCCCGUGAAAGUAGUAAGGUAGGAUUGAUGUUCUUAUCCUUUUUACAAAUGAGGAAAUUGAGGCUUAGUGAGAUAAUGUGCCUCUCAGUAUAUAUAGAAUGUAAGGCCUGCCCAAUCUGGGAAAGUGUAGACAGUUUAUUAGUGAAAUAUUUACAAAAACGAAAGGCUUAAGGUCCUAGUGGGCCUGAGACUUAAGUAUUUCGCUUACCUUUUUUUGAACGGAAAAUUGAAUAUUUGAACUCUCCAAAGCCAUGGAUACUGGCUUCUCUGGGUAGGUCUGUAUGCACAAUCUAAAGAAGAGUGCAGUAACCAAUAGGAGAACCUCAACUUACAUAAACAUCCACCCCUAAUGGAGUGGAAUGUGAUGUGAUAUACUGGCAUUAAGGAUUGGCUAAGUCCCAUCUAUCUUAAACAAUGCUUAGUUUAAAUAUAUUCUAGGCUGGGCGUGGUGGCUCACACCUGUAAUCCCAGCACUUUGGGAGGCCUAGGCGGGUGGAUUACCUGAGGUCAGAGUUCCAGAACAGGCUGGCCAACAUCAUGAAACCUGUCUCUACUAAAAAUACAAAAAUUAGCCAGGCGUGGUGGCAUGCGCCUAUAAUCCCAGCUACUCGGGAGGCUGAGGCAGGAGAAUCGCUUGAACCCGG
RNAcentral lists this long non-coding RNA (1431 nucleotides) under Homo sapiens (human). Its description in RNAcentral is "HSALNT0062704". Lineage: Eukaryota; Metazoa; Chordata; Mammalia; Primates; Hominidae. The record is from RNAcentral.